UAGAUGCGAGAGUAGAGCAUAUCAAUAAGCGGAGGAAAAGAAACUAACAAGGAUUCCCUUAGUAACGGCGAGUGAAGCGGGAAGAGCUCAAAUUUGAAAUCUUCAAGGUUCUACCUUGACGAAUUGUAGUUUAUAGAAGUGUUUUCUGUUAGUGGAGUGGCAAAAGUUCUUUGGAAUAGGACAUCAUAGAGGGUGAGAAUCCCGUAUUUGGUCAUUCCUCCUAGCGUUGUGAUACACUUUCAACGAGUCGGAUUGUUUGGGAAUGCAGUCCAAAAUGGGUGGUAAAUUUCAUCUAAAGCUAAAUAUUGGCGAGAGACCGAUAGCCAACAAGUACCGUGAGGGAAAGAUGAAAAGAACUUUGAAAAGAGAGUUAAACAGUACGUGAAAUUGUCAAAAGGGAAGCGUUUGACACCAGUGUUGUUUUUCCGAAAAUCAAUUACGAAUGUUUUAUUUUUGAGGAGUUAUGACUUCAUCGGCUUGCUCCUUUCUUUAUGAAACUUUCUUAAUGCACUUUUCGGUUAACAAGUCAACAUCAAUUUCUUUUGUUGUAAAAGGGUAUGAGGAAGGUGGCUUUCUUUUCGGAGAAAGUGUUUAUAGCCUUGUGCCUCUGCAAUCGGAGAGAUUGAGGUCUGCAGCGUAGAUCCUUCGGGGUUAGAUACAUUUGUGCUAAGUUAUAGCUUUUCAUAGACAACUUGUUGACUAUGUUUAGUCUUGUAGCUUACUCGCUUAUGCUAUUUUACCUACGCUUAGGAUGUUGACGAGACUGUCGAUCUC
This 774-nucleotide ribosomal RNA is filed under the name uncultured Neocallimastigales. RNAcentral's name for it is "partial large subunit ribosomal RNA". It matches the Rfam family "Eukaryotic large subunit ribosomal RNA", at positions 22 to 647 of the family's 3401-position model. The record is from RNAcentral. Lineage: Eukaryota; Fungi; Neocallimastigomycota; Neocallimastigomycetes; Neocallimastigales.